This 614-nucleotide ribosomal RNA is filed under the name Inocybe fraudans. RNAcentral describes it as "eukaryotic LSU rRNA". The stretch from base 258 to 411 matches the Rfam family "5.8S ribosomal RNA". Lineage: Eukaryota; Fungi; Basidiomycota; Agaricomycetes; Agaricales; Inocybaceae. The record is from RNAcentral.
UGCGGAAGGAUCAUUAUCGAAUAAACUUGAACAGGCUGUUGCUGGCCCUUAGGGGUAUGUGCACGCUUGUCAUCUUUAUUUCUCCAACUGUGCACAUAUUGUAGACCUGGAGAUUUUUUUGUUGUUGAUAUUAGUUAUCGAGUUGGAACUGCGACUGCUACUGCUGUUGCUUUUCCUUGAAAUUCUUUCCAGGUCUAUGUACCUUUUUCACAAACCUAUGAAUCUGUUUAGAAUAACAAAGUUGAAUUUAAAUAUACAACUUUCAGCAACGGAUCUCUUGGCUCUCGCAUCGAUGAAGAACGCAGCGAAAUGCGAUAAGUAAUGUGAAUUGCAGAAUUCAGUGAAUCAUCGAAUCUUUGAACGCAUCUUGCGCUCCUUGGUAUUCCUUGGAGCAUGCCUGUUUGAGUGUCAUUCAAAUUCUCAAACCACGUUGUUUCGAUGUGGCUUGGAUGUGGGGGAUUUUGUGCAGGCCCUUUUUCAAGAGUCAGCUCCCCUGAAAUGCAUUAGCGGUAUCUGAGCAGAGAAACUACCACAGGUGUGAUAAAUUUAUCUAUGCCUUGGUGAGCUGCAUGAACAGAUUGUGCUGCUUAUAAAACCAUAUGAUGAUGAAAUUG